Molecule: long non-coding RNA, 639 nt
Filed under: Homo sapiens (human)
Lineage: Eukaryota; Metazoa; Chordata; Mammalia; Primates; Hominidae
Description: HSALNT0033944
Source: RNAcentral
CAAUCGUUCUUCUGUGGGGUUGCAUGAGGACCAGAGAGAGAAGUCCCCCUUCCACCAGGGCUGCACAGACAGGGCAGCCCAUGGCCCACCAGUGUCCUCCCCACUCAGAAUGGAGCCAGACAGAGACAUUUGAGGACCAAGAGAUAAAGCCAGAUCGAGCACCUGGGGGGCUCCCAUUUGAAACCAGGAGCUGGCACUGCCUGAAGCGGGAGCCCCUGAUGGACUCGGCGGCUCUGAGCCAGUGAGGACUUGUUUCCAGUUCCUUGUCUUGACUGACGGCAAGCGCCCAGGCCUUUGCUCUCCAUAGCUGCCGCUGUAUUCCCCAGCCUCACCCUCCUCAGUCCUCCACGCAGCACCUGCGGCUCUGCAGCCCUGGGCCAACACCAUGAGGACCUGGGUCCAGAAUUGGCUGCUGGGGCACCUCCCAUUCCCAGGAGAGUGGGUUGCCCUGGAGCAAGGCUGCCUGGCCUCCUCAGGGAGACCCCAGCCCCUGUCUCAGGAAUGCAACUUUCUGUGACAAGCCCACUCCAUGGCACAGACUCCAAGCCCUCGCUCCCUGCCCAGACGCUUCGCUGGCUGAGAUUGCCCGCGCUCUGCUUUCUGCACACUGCACAGCGCUUCGGCUCCUUAGCUUGAAGG